AGCUGAUGCUGGUGCCAACAUGGAGUAAAUCUUCUUGGUUUUGUGUGUUAAAGCCUCAGAGAAGGAAAGCAGAGGAUGGAGGACGAGUCAGGAGGAGGCCGGCUGAGCGGGGGUCCACUGGAAGACACCUGGGUCCUGCCCACAAGAGAUAAGUGUCCUACCCCUUCAACCUCAUACACCUCUCCCUGAGAAUAUGUGCAGUAUGUAUGUGAUAUGGAGAUACACACAUACACUCAGGAUCCAGAUAAUCUGCUGGAAGAGGUUUACGCAGACCUCACAGCCUUCGCUCGGUGCACACGCAUGCAUGCAAACAGGUUUUUACACACAUGGACGUAUCCAAAGAUAGCGCUUAAUGUGGCGAGGAUGCCGUGCAUCCUGCGCCGGCUGUGGAGAAUCGGCCUGACUAAGCUCUGAAUUUACAUGGCUAAGCAAAGUUGUUAACCCUGAGAGGCAGGGCCAGAGUAGUAGCUAAUGGGAUUUCUCUGUUAAUGAAAUUUAUAAAAGAGAGGGAGAGAAAAGAGAGAGAAAAGGACAGAUACAAGCUAUGGAGAGAAACAGAAAACACCAGCCCAUUUUCCAGAGGAUUUUGUUUACUGUAUUCUGAGUGGGGUCGAUGGAAAGAGUAAAAAAAAUUAAAAAAUAUGGCAAAAAAAGUUUCGGUUUGUCAAAGUGUAGAAAAAGUGGACACAGGACAAACAAGCAAGCACAGAGAUUAAUUAAUUAAUCAAACAGUUAAUUAAACCACAUUAAUUAAACAGUAAUGCUUUUGAACUAUGAGAGGAAUCCACGUUACCUGGAAAAGAAACACAAGGAAAGGAUGUGCAGAAAAGAUCUCAGAGGUUCAUUCAAGCGGUUUCUGGGUGCAUGGGGUCUUUGCAACAUUGGAGGAAGCCACAGUGCCAAAGAAAUGUCAAAUUAUGAAUAUUAAGAUCUUAGAUAGAUCAUUCUCAUUUUGUGAGUAAAAACUUUUUUAACCAGCUUUCUUUUGUUCUUUGUCUCACAAAUGAGGGUAAUGUCCCACGAACAACACAAACUUUUACCAAGUCUAAACUGCAACACAGUUGAUUUUCAGACAAAUAUAGUAAGAGUUGUGCAUAUUUUCUAUUUGACAACCAUGGCCUCAAACUUCAUAACUAAAACAAUUUUAUGAAACUUGAAAAAAAAAAUUAACCCUUAAAAAAUUUGCUUUACAUGCCAAGUCCUUUCAAAAUAGCAUGAAUUGUUUAAAAUGCUGAAAAAAUUUGUACUUUAGAUUGGAGAAUUAAUAAAAUACAGCCUCAUCGAAAUGAAACAUUAAUAAAACAAUCAAAAUCCCAUCACGGAGACUUGAAAAUGCUAAGUUAUAUAUAUUUAACAAUAUGUUAUUAUUUGUAUAUUAUGUAACUGGACAUAUCCAAAGACAGCACUUGUGUUCCAGUUUUAAACAACUUACUGCCACUGUUACGCAUCACGAUAAGUUAUAAGUCUGGAUCUGAGGGUCAAAACAAAAAUGUGUUCUUUCUAUUUGCAUAUGUUUUGUGUGGUUGAUCCUGUGCUUUUAUACACAGCUCAAAAUAUGAGGGUUGGGAUAAUUGGUCUGUCUAAAAUUGCCUAUGAUUGAGCAUGUAAGCGUGAGCUCUUACAUGAUUGUUUGUUUUCUGUCUCUCCUUCUUGCCCUGUCAUGGACAGUUCCCAACCUCAGAUCCAAUGAAGGCAAGAAAAACACACCUUCCUCUCAUCCAGACUGUCAGCCUUGAUUGCCCCGGGGUGAGUGGGCAGAAGAUUGUGAUGAGCGGGGAAGAAGAAGAAGAAGAAGAAGAAAGAGAAGAGGGCAAGUGUGAAAAUAUCGUCGCUUUAUGGAAAUGAGAGCAACUGUCAAGGAAGCCUCUAAGGAGGUGAACCGGAGGGGAACAGUUACAGUGUGCUCCGUGACAGGGCGCUGCACAAACAGGAACAGAAUGGCUUUGUUAAGGAGGACAGAAAGAGAUAAAGCAUCUGAGAUAGAAAAAAAAAAUCUGCUUAGCGACUUUAUAACUAUAUUUAGUUUUCAAACUCAUAAACUGAACAUACUUGGACGUGUUAAGUAAUGAAUACUCCUUUAAUUUAUUAAAAAAGAAAAGAAACUGUUGACUUUUUGACUAAAUAUUAUUAUAUUUCUGGAGUAAUUUGGAGAACCUAACAUGGAAAUGCAUCCUCUUAACUCUUCUGAACAGGUGCAAAAGAUUCACAGGUAGACAUGUCCUCACACAUCAGUCCCUCCCAGUUGUAGACAAAGUAGGAAAUGCAGGCUGAUCCUCUAAAAGAGGCUUCACUAAGGUUACUUUUAGGCCACUUCUACUGGGCUGGAAUGAUGAUUUUAUAAAAGCAUAGAAGAAAGUCAUUUUGUAGGUUUGCAACACAUAUUACACUUGCAUUUUGUCUCUUCUCUCCUUCAAAGUUCUUUGCAAUUGCAUGCACAUUACUUAAACUUUUUUAUGGAAACAAGUUUAGGUAUUUUUGGGCCUUUUAGAAGAGCUGAUUUCCUUACUGAGGUGUUCUGAAAUAUUUUGUGAUUUACAAAAAAAAAAGUAUAAAUGGGAACGUUUUUCUGUAGUGUCCAAAGUAAGAAAGAAAAAGUAAAAAUGUAUUUUUAAUCUGUUACUUCAAGUGUUCUUCUGUUUUAGAAGUCUUAUUUUACAUGCCUGUUGCAUA
This is a long non-coding RNA of Poeciliopsis prolifica (blackstripe livebearer), 2670 nucleotides long. RefSeq lists it as uncharacterized. The transcript has 3 exons. NCBI's taxonomy places the organism in Eukaryota, Metazoa, Chordata, Actinopteri, Cyprinodontiformes, Poeciliidae. The record is from RefSeq and is a predicted model, not a curated record.